GCCGGUGUAGCUCAGUUGGCAGAGCGCCACUUUUGUAAAGUGGAUGUCGUCAGUUCGAGCCUGACCACCGGCUCCA
RNAcentral lists this transfer RNA (76 nucleotides) under Candidatus Taylorbacteria bacterium RIFCSPHIGHO2_01_FULL_49_60. RNAcentral's name for it is "tRNA-Thr". It matches the Rfam family "tRNA". From Rfam's summary of the family: Transfer RNA (tRNA) molecules are approximately 80 nucleotides in length. Their secondary structure includes four short double-helical elements and three loops (D, anti-codon, and T loops). Lineage: Bacteria; Candidatus Tayloriibacteriota. RNAcentral also lists the same sequence under 6 other names. The record is from RNAcentral.